RNAcentral lists this ribosomal RNA (464 nucleotides) under Vreelandella stevensii. RNAcentral's name for it is "partial 16S ribosomal RNA". It matches the Rfam family "Bacterial small subunit ribosomal RNA", at positions 339 to 795 of the family's 1533-position model. The record is from RNAcentral. Lineage: Bacteria; Pseudomonadati; Pseudomonadota; Gammaproteobacteria; Oceanospirillales; Halomonadaceae.
CCUCGGGAGGCUGCAGUGGGGAAUAUUGGACAAUGGGCGAAAGCCUGAUCCAGCCAUGCCGCGUGUGUGAAGAAGGCCUUCGGGUUGUAAAGCACUUUCAGUGGGGAAGAAAGCCUUGGGGCUAAUACCCUCGAGGAAGGACAUCACCCACAGAAGAAGCACCGGCUAACUCCGUGCCAGCAGCCGCGGUAAUACGGAGGGUGCGAGCGUUAAUCGGAAUUACUGGGCGUAAAGCGCGCGUAGGCGGUCUGGUAAGCCGGUUGUGAAAGCCCCGGGCUCAACCUGGGAACGGCAUCCGGAACUGUCAGGCUAGAGUGCAGGAGAGGAAGGUAGAAUUCCCGGUGUAGCGGUGAAAUGCGUAGAGAUCGGGAGGAAUACCAGUGGCGAAGGCGGCCUUCUGGACUGACACUGACGCUGAGGUGCGAAAGCGUGGGUAGCAAACAGGAUUAGAUACCCCAGUAGUC